This 250-nucleotide ribosomal RNA is filed under the name uncultured prokaryote. RNAcentral describes it as "partial 16S ribosomal RNA". It matches the Rfam family "Bacterial small subunit ribosomal RNA", at positions 524 to 773 of the family's 1533-position model. The record is from RNAcentral.
UACGUAGGGGGCAAGCGUUGUCCGGAAUGACUGGGCGUAAAGGGCGUGUAGGCGGUCGAGUAAGUUGGGAGUGAAACUCCUGUUUUCAAGGCAGGAACUGCUCUCAAAACUGCUUGACUUGAGUGCGGAAGAGGUAAGUGGAAUUCCCAGUGUAGCGGUGAAAUGCGUAGAGAUUGGGAGGAACACCAGUGGCGAAGGCGACUUACUGGGCCGUAACUGACGCUGAGGCGCGAAAGCGUGGGGAGCAAAC